UAAGGGUACCCCCUCUGCGUCUAGGGCUUGUCCUAAGAAAAAGAAUUCCUUGAAGAUGCCAAAACGUGGGAAGAAGUGGCCAUUGAGCUAUGUGGAUUUGUUGAAUGCACAUGAUUCACCCAUGGAUCAAGAGAGGGCGGAGGUAUAUACCUAUUUCAUCAAUGGCGAACCCUCCUUUGUGCACUGGAGAAGCAUCUUAGGAUCCGGUACACUUUUGUUUGAUAUGUAAAAUUGAUUGUUUUUAACCUACAAUACUUAUCAUUAUAUUAAUUGUAUUUAAUCUUUGAACAUUUUUUGUAUAAGUAAUAGCGAUAGUUUCUCCAUCGAUGGUGAGCCAUCCUCAGUCCAUUGGAGAAGCAUCUCAGCCACAUACCCCUUCGCGGUACGACCAUAACAUGGAUCUAUUUAAGUAUGUCUUCAAGAAAACUCCUAAGAGUGACAAGGAGAGGAGAGCAAAGACAUUAGCUCCUAGAUCAACCAAUCAGUUUUGCAGCCAUCUAUAGAGCCGCGUACUACAUCGAAGAGGCUUGAUUUUGAUGAUCCACCACAAGUUUAUGAUCAUAUAGUGUUAGUUUUGGUCAUAGAAUGACCAAUACAUGUAGAUAUAUUCUACAUUUUUAUUAUAUAUCGAUUUGGACAUGGCAUAUGCCACAUUUUGUAAUACUUGUAUUGA
Molecule: long non-coding RNA, 673 nt
Organism: Cryptomeria japonica (Japanese cedar)
Lineage: Eukaryota; Viridiplantae; Streptophyta; Pinopsida; Cupressales; Cupressaceae
Exons: 4
Source: RefSeq, a predicted model, not a curated record